GUGAAAUGAAUAUCAAUGAAAGAAAGGAAAAUAAAGUUUAUAGGGUGCACAGGAGCAGAAUGUGCUGUGUCACGGAGCACCUGCUGAAGGACAUCCAAGAACUGGAUUGCAUGACAAAACAGGAAGUACAAAUGAAACAUAUCUGUAUGAUUGCUACUUUUCCAGAGAAGAGCUGAAGUGCAAAGCAGGUGUUCGUGGUAUGGCAGCAGGAGUUGAACCUUCCUACCAAGAUUUCCUUACAUUUUGUUGCUGUGUGACAGAUGGCAGAAGAGGAGCAGUCUGAGAAAAUGGCAUUUGACAUAGAAGUAAAACUUAUUUUUAGCAUUUGAGGAAGUAGAAUGCAGAAGCCCACUGUAUUUUGCUGGAUUUUGUAAAGGAAAAGAUAAAACAGCUCGCUAGUCAUGAGAUUGGUUCCUUCUUCCUUCCUCCACAGUGUGUGCUCCCUAGACACCUCACCUUCUUCAUUAGCACUGGAAUAAACCUGACCACAAAGGUGGAAAAGGGAUGGAAGACUGAGAAGGAAAAUGAAGUUUUGAAGAAGAGACCAGAAAAAGAAAGGCUGAAAAUGAUUAUGAAGCUCACACAAGAUGUAUAAUGAUUAUCUCUUCUCUGCGUUCUAGAGGAGCUUUACAGAAUCACAGAAUUGUAGG
Molecule: long non-coding RNA, 650 nt
Organism: Centrocercus urophasianus (Greater sage-grouse)
Lineage: Eukaryota; Metazoa; Chordata; Aves; Galliformes; Phasianidae
Exons: 6
Source: RefSeq, a predicted model, not a curated record